This 387-nucleotide ribosomal RNA is filed under the name uncultured bacterium. Its description in RNAcentral is "bacterial SSU rRNA". It matches the Rfam family "Bacterial small subunit ribosomal RNA", at positions 28 to 417 of the family's 1533-position model. The record is from RNAcentral.
GACGAACGCUGGCGGCGUGCUUAACACAUGCAAGUCGAGCGGUAAGGCCCUUUCGGGGGUACACGAGCGGCGAACGGGUGAGUAACACGUGGGUGACCUGCCCUUAGCUCUGGGAUAAGCCUGGGAAACUGGGUCUAAUACCGGAUAUGACUCCAUGACGCAUGUUGUGGGGUGGAAAGCCUUGUGCGGCUAGGGAUGGGCCUGCGGCCUAUCAGCUUGUUGGUGGGGUGAGGGCCUACCAAGGCGACGACGGGUAGCCGGCCUGAGAGGGCGACCGGCCGCACUGGGACUGAGACACGGCCCAGACUCCUACGGGAGGCAGCAGUGGGGAAUCUUGCGCAAUGGGCGAAAGCCUGACGCAGCGACGCCGCGUGGGGAUGACGGCCU